Molecule: RNase P RNA, 313 nt
Filed under: Christiangramia salexigens
Lineage: Bacteria; Pseudomonadati; Bacteroidota; Flavobacteriia; Flavobacteriales; Flavobacteriaceae
Description: Gramella sp. LPB0144 Bacterial RNase P class A
Rfam family: Bacterial RNase P class A
About the family: Ribonuclease P (RNase P) is a ubiquitous endoribonuclease, found in archaea, bacteria and eukarya as well as chloroplasts and mitochondria. Its best characterised activity is the generation of mature 5'-ends of tRNAs by cleaving the 5'-leader elements of precursor-tRNAs.
Source: Rfam by way of RNAcentral
GGAGCAGGCCGCCUUAUCGUUCCGACAUCUAUCGGAGAGGAAAGUCCGGACACCAAAGGGCAGUGUAGUGGGUAACGCCCACCGGUCGUGAGAUCAGGACCAGUGCAACAGAAAGGAUGUACAGGUAAUGCUGUAGUGAAAUCAGGUAAACUCUAUGCGGUGCAAUGCCAUGUAUACCGGUAUUUAAGGAUCGCCCGUCCGUUGCCGGAGGGUAGGCAGCUAAAAAUCAUUGGCAACUUUGAUUUCAGAUAAAUGAUAAGGAUCCCGGUCAAUUAUCGGGAGACAGAAUCCGGCUUAUAGGCCUGCUUUUUUU